GUGGGGAAUAUUGGACAAUGGGCGAAAGCCUGAUCCAGCCAUGCCGCGUGUGUGAAGAAGGUCUUCGGAUUGUAAAGCACUUUAAGUUGGGAGGAAGGGCAGUAAGUUAAUACCUUGCUGUUUUGACGUUACCGACAGAAUAAGCACCGGCUAACUUCGUGCCAGCAGCCGCGGUAAUACGAAGGGUGCAAGCGUUAAUCGGAAUUACUGGGCGUAAAGCGCGCGUAGGUGGUUCAGCAAGUUGGAGGUGAAAUCCCCGGGCUCAACCUGGGAACUGCCUCCAAAACUACUGAGCUAGAGUACGGUAGAGGGUAGUGGAAUUUCCUGUGUAGCGGUGAAAUGCGUAGAUAUAGGAAGGAACACCAGUGGCGAAGGCGACUACCUGGACUGAUACUGACACUGAGGUGCGAAAGCGUGGGGAGCAAACAGGAUUAGAAACCCGUGUAGUCC
Molecule: ribosomal RNA, 450 nt
Filed under: uncultured bacterium
Lineage: Bacteria
Description: bacterial SSU rRNA
Rfam family: Bacterial small subunit ribosomal RNA
Source: RNAcentral